Vicugna pacos (alpaca) is the source of this 462-nucleotide non-coding RNA. NCBI's taxonomy places the organism in Eukaryota, Metazoa, Chordata, Mammalia, Artiodactyla, Camelidae. The record is from RefSeq and is a predicted model, not a curated record.
GACACCCAAAGCCCAGAGCCUGCGCGCUGAAAUGCCUGGUAAACGCUGUCCUAAAUGAGGGUCUAACUGCAGCGUGACGAGGCGUCUCGUGCGUGUUAAGGACAAAGCCCUCCUGGAACUAAGCGUCAUAGGCGUCCACCGAAGUCGGAACUUUUAUGAGCAGAGCCCGGCCGGCCACAAUCGCCAUCUGGGAACAUCUUCCUGACGUAGACUGGCUGGCUUGGUGGGGGAGGCGCAGAUCAGGAGGACCGAUGCCGGCUGUCCGAGCACCUCUGCAGACGUCUGCUCACCUCGUGCAGCCCUGGAGCUCUCCGUGGUACAUCCCACAAGGGUGCCAGGGGGUCCCUGGGUGCCCUGAGCCAGGUGCCCUCUGCGUGAGGGCCCCCUGCUCCUCUGGGGCUGGCGUCAGGGGCUUUCUGGGCCCCAGUCAGGAAUCAAGGAAGGAAUCUGGCCCUGGAGACA